RNAcentral lists this long non-coding RNA (5204 nucleotides) under Ananas comosus (pineapple). RNAcentral's name for it is "long non-coding RNA (ACOM_LNC008909)". The record is from RNAcentral. Lineage: Eukaryota; Viridiplantae; Streptophyta; Magnoliopsida; Poales; Bromeliaceae.
CCAACAUCAGCACCUCAGCGUGACACCACGCACGUCCGUGCUUCGCACCUCCGUGCUUCGCAUUCGACCCGUGCGGCCCUCGUGUCCCAUCGCUCCUGAAUAGGGAACCAACAAGUCCACACCGUGCUUCUCGACCGUCUCAUCGACCCUCGCUUUGCCACGGCGCUCCGCGCCCUUGACUCCCAUAGGUUCGCCUCAUAAGGCCCCAUACAAACGAACCGGCCUCGCUCCGCAUCGCUAGCCACUGGCCCCUCCUUGGCUCGACCACGCCUGGCCGCUUACCCCAUUGGUCCAGUCUCUCAAGGUUCACUAUACGGAUACCGAUACCGCUUGCCUCCUUGGGUUCCGCCCCUCGAGUCUCGUAGGCCACCCGCCUUACGAAUUCUCCCUCGGCAUGCCUCCCUUUAGCGUCCCUAUCGAGUCUCGCCUCCUUGGCCUUCGUGGGCGCCGCGCCCCACGAAUCCCCGCUCGGCACCCUUGCCUUCGCGAGCCUUGUCCUUUACGGAGGACCAUCCGUCGCUAGACUAUCCCUCAUCCGCUCGUACGCUCCACUACAGAGAUCCAAGCCGGCAUAAGGUAGCGCAAGCGAUCCUAGGGAGGAAGCCUCCCGGUAUUCCCCGCUUCCGUAAUGUCGUCGACCUCUCGCGUCUCCGACAUUACCCUAGGCCCGUGUCCCUUCAACCGUCCAUUAACCGGCUACACGGAACGCUAGGCUUGGCUACUCCGCUAGCCAAGGGACGACCCAUAUCCUAUGGGUCGACGGGGGAGUCGGGGCCACUUACGAAGUGUCCACCCCUCCUCUAAUACCCUUACGAGGCAUCCACUCCUUUGGCACCCCGGGGGUACAAAGGUGCUCACCGAGGGGUACGUUUUCAAGCCCCGCAUGCGGCACCUAUUUCCAAGUCAUGGCAUGGGCCAUUGCUAGGGAAUUGCCUCCGUUGACUUGACAGCGACUCCUACCUGACGGAACGCCUCAACUCCGCAACUCCAUAACUUCGUCAACCCAAAUGCCUACCAAGUAUGGCCCACAAAGGUGUCACGGUCGAGACCCAACGAUCGACCCGUGACAGUACGGCACGAGCGGCAUUUUGAACCUUGAUAAUAAUAUUAUAAUACUAAUCCAAGUGUCGAAACGCAAAAAAUCGCGCCUGCGGUGUUUCGAUCGGCUCGUCAAAUGGCACCAAAUCCCUUUCCUCUUCUUCUUCUUCUCUUUUUCCCCUUUCUCUUCUUUCCUUUUCUCUCUAUACGUACAGGUUGAAGGUGGAGGGAAGCUUCAAGAGGCUUCCCUGGCAACUUAGUGGAAUUCCACUACGGUAACAAUAUGCCAAUAAGUCCAUAAGCCAUCAAUAUUCUCAAUUUGCUCUAAUUUCAAUUUGAUACUUUUAAUUGCAGCCCUUCUGAAUGUCCGUUUGCGGUACAACUCUUGUGGGUACUCAUGCCAUACUCGUGCCCUCUCCGCAAACAACUUUUGUCACCCCAAUGCCUCCACAAUCGCACAACGUCGAGCUCUCCCCAUGGUCUCCCCAAGCUUUCAAGCCUUUCGUCGGGACUAGCCGGCCUCGACUACUUCCUGCUCUACUGACUUCCCCACGGACUCUUGUCAUGCCUCCUGACUGCUUUGCAUUUCGACUACUUGUUGAUGCACGGCACCUUUAGCCUUUAUCCCACAAGCCUGCUCAAGCCCUACUUCGUUAGGCUCUCGCAGAACUCCACUUCGAUUCGCAAUCAAAGUGUUCGGCCAAGUUCGAGCCAAUCGGACACCUUGUCUCUUUUCGCUCGCAACUUGCCAUAUCCCAACUCUAGGGACACCACCCUCAUGAUUGAACGCUGAACGGAACUCAGUUCACUCUCUGCUUAGUCUGAACCGCAAGUCUGGUUGCCACGGCAAUGCCGCUACCCUGCGCGCACCGCCCUUACAGAACUUCGAUACCUCGACCCUUCCCGCAGCUGCGAACUGUCCAAACUCCAGCCAGCACCAUGAUCCUGGGUGAAUCCACACACCACUCAACCCGACUAAGGAUGUCUCAUCCGUCCAACUCGUGGGCACAUUGUAAAGAGCAACCGAUCUCCACACCGGCCUUCUCGCACCAAGAGAAGUACUAAGCUCUCUCGCAAUCCUAGGUCCCCUUCACAACCUAGUCCAACGCCUAGCUGUUACUACCAUGGAUUCGUCGGCCUAGACUUCCAACUUGAGCUCCACGAAGCAAACUCUUUUACCACAUGUGUUGUAUCCCACUUCCUGUCAUAGACGAGCUCCUUCACCGAGUCUUUGCGCAUGGGAGCACUUAAUGAACAAACGUGCUCCCCCACUCUGAGUCGCUCCACCACCAAGCGCACUCAGAUCUCCCCGGCAUUCUCAAUGCCCCACAUUCCGCUCUGCUAGCUCCGGCUCUGCCACAACCUUCACUAUUCCCUCAAGCGGAACCCAUGUCAUCCAUCCAAUGGAUACAUGUAUGCUACCUCGAGUCACCAACGCUGUCACCGUUCUGCUCGAAGCUAGCCUUACCACCUCACUCCGCGAGUUAAGGUUUCAACCUCAAUCCAUUCUCUCGCACAAGGAUGCCUUCUCAUUCCAUAUCAUGGGCACACUCCAAAGAGUCAUCGAUCUCCCCAUCGAUCUUCCUUUUACCAAGAGAGAAGUACUGGUUCAUCGAGUAGCCCUUUGGUAAUCCCGCAACUUUGGUCGAAGCUGCUCCCAACGAAGACUACUGCCCGUCAGACUUCAAACUCAGCUUUCACGAAGUAAACUCUUUCGCCCAGUGUUUCACCGCCCAAUCCAUAUCCUUUCGAGAAGCACCAUCGUCGAGGAUUCACAUUUGGGAAUACAUCUCCACCUUAUGUACUCCCCCACCCUGAGUCGUAAGCACCUCUGUACAACUCAGUAUCCUUGGGCAUUCGCAAUACCCAACUCCGCGGCAACCCAACCACGGACCGCAAACUGAUUCUUCCUAAUCAUUGCCCCAUCGUCUGCCACACGACUAAGGCCUUAACCAUUUCUCCAUCCUGAGAAUGACUUGGAAAUCCUCACAGGGUACCGACAUGAACUUGGCUUUCGUCCCACCACGAGUCCACACCAACAAGCACCUCCCUCGCAAGACCCGCAAUCGGCUGGGCCUCCGAGCUCCUCGCUGUUAUCUGACUCUCAUCCAUGCGUGGUGCAAGUCCGAACCGCCCGGCUUCACUCACCGCAAAGAAUUCGUGGGUAGUACCAAUAUCCAUCGCAACUUAACUCCGCAUCUCUCACAAGCGAAGUAUUGUCCCAAUGCAUUGUCGGCUCCAAGUCCUUUCGUCAGAGUGACUCUGCUCACUCCAACUUCGCCGCCAAGGUCGCACCUUUCGGCCAAACUUCCAUCCCAAAUGAGCUCAACCUGGCUCUGAUACCACUUGUCACGGGGUUAGCUUUUCCGCCUCAAAAAUCCCCGCGCGGCGCUCAAGUGUCGCACACCCGAGCCAGCCUUCUCGAGUCCCUUACACGGACAAGUCUCCCCGACUUAACAGCGGAAUACCAAUCCAAGCAUUUUGCCAAGCUUGCUCCUCCUCGAGACUUAUAGCCCGACCCUCGCCUGUAAUCGAACCCCUCGUCGGACUCCUCGAGUUCCCAACGAGCAACCCCAAUAUCGAGGUUGGCCACCAAGCUAGGUGCAUCCUGUUUUGUCAACCAAACCCUCCUCGAGAGUGCUCUGUAGCCGAAUGCCUUGUUGCCUUCCUCGCCAGCCCAAGGACAUUACAAGUUCUCCCCCAACUUGUACAAUAUGAGUAUAGCCGAGCGUCUCGCCUCCCACGCGUCUCGCUCCCGCGACUCAACCCGCACGCCUCUAGCGUCGAGGUCCGGGCUUCGCGACAUCGCAUGCCACGAAGGGCACUCAUAACCAUAAGUUCCACCAUCGUGUCUCCCGCGCCUGACAACGCCCAUGGCCAUACCGCCUACGCGGCCUGCUCGCUCGGUCCAACGGCUUACCUCCGAAAAGCCACCCAAGUGUGCGCCACAAGCUUGCUUGCCCCAACAUCAGCACCUCAGCGUGACACCACGCACGUCCGUGCUUCGCACCUCCGUGCUUCGCAUUCGACCCGUGCGGCCCUCGUGUCCCAUCGCUCCUGAAUAGGGAACCAACAAGUCCACACCGUGCUUCUCGACCGUCUCAUCGACCCUCGCUUUGCCACGGCGCUCCGCGCCCUUGACUCCCAUAGGUUCGCCUCAUAAGGCCCCAUACAAACGAACCGGCCUCGCUCCGCAUCGCUAGCCACUGGCCCCUCCUUGGCUCGACCACGCCUGGCCGCUUACCCCAUUGGUCCAGUCUCUCAAGGUUCACUAUACGGAUACCGAUACCGCUUGCCUCCUUGGGUUCCGCCCCUCGAGUCUCGUAGGCCACCCGCCUUACGAAUUCUCCCUCGGCGUGCCUCCCUUUAGCGUCCCUAUCGAGUCUCGCCUCCUUGGCCUUCGUGGGCGCCGCGCCCCACGAAUCCCCGCUCGGCACACUUGCCUUCGCGAGCCUUGUCCUUUACGGAGGACCGUCCGUCGCUAGACUAUCCCUCAUCCGCUCGUACGCUCCACUACAGAGAUCCAAGCCGGCAUAAGGUAGCGCAAGCGAUCCUAGGGAGGAAGCCUCCCGGUAUUCCCCGCUUCCGUAAUGUCGUCGACCUCUCGCGUCUCCGACAUUACCCUAGGCCCGUGUCCCUUCAACCGUCCAUUAACCGGCUACACGGAACGCUAGGCUUGGCUACUCCGCUAGCCAAGGGACGACCCAUAUCCUAUGGGUCGACGGGGGAGUCGGGGCCACUUACGAAGUGUCCACCCCUCCUCUAAUACCCUUACGAGGCAUCCACUCCUUUGGCACCCCGGGGGUACAAAGGUGCUCACCGAGGGGUACGUUUUCAAGCCCCGCAUGCGGCACCUAUUUCCAAGUCAUGGCAUGGGCCAUUGCUAGGGAAUUGCCUCCGUUGACUUGACAGCGACUCCUACCUGACGGAACGCUUCAACUCCGCAACUCCAUAACUUCGUCAACCCAAAUGCCUACCAAGUAUGGCCCACAAAGGUGUCACGGUCGAGACCCAACGAUCGACCCGUGACAGUACGGCACGAGCGGCAUUUUGAACCUUGAUAAUAAUAUUAUAAUACUAAUCCAAGUGUCGAAACGCAAAAAAUCGCGCCUGCGGUGUUUCGAUCGGCUCGUCAAAUGGCACCAAAUCCCUUUCCUCUUCUUCUU